AGACCCGAAACCCGGUGAUCUAGCCAUGGGCAGGUUGAAGGUUGGGUAACACUAACUGGAGGACCGAACCGACUAAUGUUGAAAAAUUAGCGGAUGACCUGUGGCUGGGGGUGAAAGGCCAAUCAAACCGGGAGAUAGCUGGUUCUCCCCGAAAGCUAUUUAGGUAGCGCCUCGUGAAUUCAUCUCCGGGGGUAGAGCACUGUUUCGGCUAGGGGGCCAUCCCGGCUUACCAACCCGAUGCAAACUGCGAAUACCGGAGAAUGUUAUCACGGGAGACACACGGCGGGUGCUAACGUCCGUCGUGAAGAGGGAAACAACCCAGACCGCCAGCUAAGGUCCCAAAGUCAUGGUUAAGUGGGAAACGAUGUGGGAAGGCCCAGACAGCCAGGAUGUUGGCUUAGAAGCAGCCAUCAUUUAAAGAAAGCGUAAUAGCUCACUGGUCGAGUCGGCCUGCGCGGAAGAUGUAACGGGGCUAAACCAUGCACCGAAGCUGCGGCAGCGACGCUGAUGCGUUGUUGGGUAGGGGAGCGUUCUGUAAGCCUGUGAAGGUGGCCUGUGAGGGUUGCUGGAGGUAUCAGAAGUGCGAAUGCUGACAUAAGUAACGAUAAAGCGGGUGAAAAGCCCGCUCGCCGGAAGACCAAGGGUUCCUGUCCAACGUUAAUCGGGGCAGGGUGAGUCGACCCCUAAGGCGAGGCCGAAAGGCGUAGUCGAUGGGAAACGGGUUAAUAUUCCCGUACUUGGUGUUACUGCGAAGGGGGGACGGAGAAGGCUAUGUUGGCCGGGCGACGGUUGUCCCGGUUUAAGCGUGUAGGUGUGUGUUCCAGGUAAAUCCGGUUCACUUUAACACUGAGGCGUGAUGACGAGGCACUACGGUGCUGAAGCAACAAAUGCCCUGCUUCCAGGAAAAGCCUCUAAGCAUCAGGUAACAUCAAAUCGUACCCCAAACCGACACAGGUGGUCAGGUAGAGAAUACCAAGGCGCUUGAGAGAACUCGGGUGAAGGAACUAGGCAAAAUGGUGCCGUAACUUCGGGAGAAGGCACGCUGACAUGUAGGUGAAGUGAUUUACUCAUGGAGCUGAAGUCAGUCGAAGAUACCAGCUGGCUGCAACUGUUUAUUAAAAACACAGCACUGUGCAAACACGAAAGUGGACGUAUACGGUGUGACGCCUGCCCGGUGCCGGAAGGUUAAUUGAUGGGGUCAGCGCAAGCGAAGCUCCUGAUCGAAGCCCCGGUAAACGGCGGCCGUAACUAUAACGGUCCUAAGGUAGCGAAAUUCCUUGUCGGGUAAGUUCCGACCUGCACGAAUGGCGUAAUGAUGGCCAGGCUGUCUCCACCCGAGACUCAGUGAAAUUGAACUCGCUGUGAAGAUGCAGUGUACCCGCGGCAAGACGGAAAGACCCCGUGAACCUUUACUAUAGCUUGACACUGAACAUUGAGCCUUGAUGUGUAGGAUAGGUGGGAGGCUUUGAAGUGUGGACGCCAGUCUGCAUGGAGCCGGCCUUGAAAUACCACCCUUUAAUGUUUGAUGUUCUAACGUGGACCCGU
RNAcentral lists this ribosomal RNA (1545 nucleotides) under Salmonella enterica. RNAcentral describes it as "partial 23S ribosomal RNA". It matches the Rfam family "Bacterial large subunit ribosomal RNA", at positions 711 to 2236 of the family's 2925-position model. Lineage: Bacteria; Pseudomonadati; Pseudomonadota; Gammaproteobacteria; Enterobacterales; Enterobacteriaceae. RNAcentral also lists the same sequence under 1 other name. The record is from RNAcentral.